Molecule: ribosomal RNA, 116 nt
Filed under: Gumaga okinawaensis
Lineage: Eukaryota; Metazoa; Arthropoda; Insecta; Trichoptera; Sericostomatidae
Description: partial 16S ribosomal RNA
Source: RNAcentral
AAAAUUUCAAAGGUCGAACAGACCUAAUUAUUAAACAUCUUCAUUUAAUAUAAAUUUUAAUCCAACAUCGAGGUCGCAAUCUUUAAUUUUUAUAAGAACUAAAAAUUAAAAUUACG